UACAGAGGUCCCGAGCGUUGUUCGGAUUCACUGGGCGUAAAGGGUGCGUAGGUGGUGAGGAAAGUCGGAUGUGAAAUCUCCGGGCUUAACCCGGAAAUGGCAUUGGAAACUACCUUGCUAGAGGUUUUGAGGGGGGACUGGAAUUCUCGGUGUAGCAGUGAAAUGCGUAGAUAUCGAGAGGAACACCGGUGGCGAAGGCGAGUCCCUGGAAAACACCUGACACUGAGGCACGAAAGCUAGGGGAGCAAACAGG
Molecule: ribosomal RNA, 253 nt
Filed under: uncultured bacterium
Lineage: Bacteria
Description: partial 16S ribosomal RNA
Rfam family: Bacterial small subunit ribosomal RNA
Source: RNAcentral